CCUACGGGUGGCAGCAGUGGGGAAUCUUGGGCAAUGGGCGCAAGCCUGACCCAGCAACGCCGCGUGAAGGAAGAAGGCUUUCGGGUUGUAAACUUCUUUUGACAGGGAAGAGUAGAAGACGGUACCUGUCGAAUAAGCCACGGCUAACUACGUGCCAGCAGCCGCGGUAAUAAGUAGGUGGCAAGCGUUGUCCGGAUUUACUGGGUGUAAAGGGCGUGUAGCCGGGUUGGCAAGUAAGGUGUGAAAGCCGGCGGCUUAACCGGAGAACUGCACUUGAAACUGUGGAUCUUGAGUACUGGAGAGGCAGACGGAAUUCCUGGUGUAGCGGUGAAAUGCGUAGAUAUUAGGAGGAACACCAGUGGCGAAGGCGGGCUGCUGGACAGCAACUGACGGUGAGGCGCGAAGGCGUGGGGAGCAAACAGGAUUAGAUACCCCUGUAGUC
RNAcentral lists this ribosomal RNA (442 nucleotides) under uncultured bacterium. RNAcentral's name for it is "partial 16S ribosomal RNA". It matches the Rfam family "Bacterial small subunit ribosomal RNA", at positions 338 to 795 of the family's 1533-position model. The record is from RNAcentral.